AAUGACUUGUCAUACCACCCUGAAUACGCCCGAUCUCGUCUGAUCGCGGAAGCUAAGCAGGGUUGGGCCUGGUUAGUACUUGGAUGGGAGACCGCCUGGGAAUACCAGGUGCUGUAAGUG
Molecule: ribosomal RNA, 120 nt
Filed under: Gadus morhua (Atlantic cod)
Lineage: Eukaryota; Metazoa; Chordata; Actinopteri; Gadiformes; Gadidae
Source: RNAcentral